GGAUUAGGAGAAUAAUGGUAAUGUACGAGUUUCUUCAUAACUCGCAAUAAAAGUUCAAUCCUUUUCUAAGGCA
RNAcentral lists this transfer RNA (73 nucleotides) under Powellomyces hirtus. Its description in RNAcentral is "tRNA-Lys". The record is from RNAcentral. Lineage: Eukaryota; Fungi; Chytridiomycota; Chytridiomycetes; Spizellomycetales; Powellomycetaceae.